CCUACGGGAGGCUGCAGUGAGGAAUAUUGGUCAAUGGCCGGAAGGCUGAACCAGCCAAGCCGCGUGAAGGACGAAGGUGCCAAGCAUUGUAAACUUCUUUUGUCAAGGGACAAAAUCAGGCUCGAGAGCCUGACCGAGGGUACUUGAAGAAAAAGCAUCGGCUAACUCCGUGCCAGCAGCCGCGGUAAUACGGAGGAUGCGAGCGUUAUCCGGAUUUAUUGGGGUUAAAGGGUGCGUAGGCGGGCUGUUAAGUCAGCGGUAAAAGCCCGGGGCUCAACCCCGGCGAGCCGUUGACACUGGUUGACUUGAGUAUAUUUGAGGUAGGCGGAAUGCGUGGUGUAGCGGUGAAAUGCAUAGAUAUCACGCAGAACUCCGAUUGCGAAGGCAGCUUACUAAACUAUAACUGACACUGAAGCACGAAAGCGUGGGGAUCAAACAGGAUUAGAUACCCGAGUAGUC
This 459-nucleotide ribosomal RNA is filed under the name uncultured bacterium. Its description in RNAcentral is "partial 16S ribosomal RNA". It matches the Rfam family "Bacterial small subunit ribosomal RNA", at positions 338 to 795 of the family's 1533-position model. The record is from RNAcentral.